Molecule: long non-coding RNA, 677 nt
Organism: Pieris rapae (cabbage white)
Lineage: Eukaryota; Metazoa; Arthropoda; Insecta; Lepidoptera; Pieridae
Exons: 3
Source: RefSeq, a predicted model, not a curated record
GCGUGAAGGGAGUUGGUAGAUGACUUACUAAGUGAGUUUUUGUCUAUGAAUAUCGUGACAAUUAACCCAUUUUAUUUAUAAAAAGAGUUAAUUGUCAAAAUUUUCAUAAUUAUAAACAAAAUACAUGUUUACUAUUUUAUUCGAUAAAAAUAAAAAAUAGAAUACGUACAUCAAUCAUGUUUUGGGGGACCUAGAUUAAAUUCAAAUUAGAUAAAUACACUUGUUUAAUGUAGUGUAAAUAUAAAAAUGUUUUGCCAUUUAUAACCUAUUACCUUAUGAAUAUUGUUAAGAUGAUAUUGAUAUUGACCGUAAAGCCCAUCUGGCAAAGGGGCCGCUUAAAGGCGACAACUGAAAGCCGUGGUGUUUGUGAGGGACAGACAACUUAAAAACAUUCUUUAUAUUUCGGCACGAAACAAAGGAUACCCAGCAUCUGGAUAUAUUAUCACAAUUUAAGAAUAUUAUCUUAACAAAAAUAUUAUCAUUUCACUCUUAAAGUGAUACUCUCCGCAAAUGGUCUAAGGAUUCAAACUAAACAGGAUGGAUAGAUAUCUUAAAUUUCAAAAUGUUACUAAAGCCAUCAGCGGUAGUCAUCAAGAACGAAGCAGAUAAUGAACAAUGAUGGACAAGAAGAUAUAUUAAACUGUGAUCAACAAUUGAUUUAUAUGAAAAAUUGUAUG